GACGAACGCUGGCGGCGUGCUUAACACAUGCAAGUCGAACGGAAAGGCCCUGCUUUUGUGGGGUGCUCGAGUGGCGAACGGGUGAGUAACACGUGAGUAACCUGCCCUUGACUUUGGGAUAACUUCAGGAAACUGGGGCUAAUACCGGAUAGGAGCUCCUGCUGCAUGGUGGGGGUUGGAAAGUUUCGGCGGUUGGGGAUGGACUCGCGGCUUAUCAGCUUGUUGGUGGGGUAGUGGCUUACCAAGGCUUUGACGGGUAGCCGGCCUGAGAGGGUGACCGGCCACAUUGGGACUGAGAUACGGCCCAGACUCGUACGGGAGGCAGCAGUGGGAAAUAUGGCACAAUGGGCGGAAGCCUGAUGCAGCAACGCCGCGUGCGGGAUGACGGCCUUCGGGUUGUAAACCGCUUUCGCCUGUGACGAAGCGUGAGUGACGGUAAUGGGUAAAGAAGCACCGGCUAACUACGUG
This 468-nucleotide ribosomal RNA is filed under the name uncultured bacterium. RNAcentral's name for it is "partial 16S ribosomal RNA". It matches the Rfam family "Bacterial small subunit ribosomal RNA", at positions 28 to 507 of the family's 1533-position model. The record is from RNAcentral.